UACGUAGGGUGCGAGCGUUAAUCGGAAUUACUGGGCGUAAAGCGUGCGCAGGCGGUUUUGUAAGCCAGAUGUGAAAUCCCCGGGCUUAACCUGGGAAUGGCAUUUGGGACUGCAAGGCUGGAGUGUGGCAGAGGAGACUGGAAUUCCUGGUGUAGCAGUGAAAUGCGUAGAUAUCAGGAGGAAUACCGAUGGCGAAGGCAGGUCUCUGGGUCAAGAUUGACGCUCAUGCACGAAAGCGUGGGGAGCAAACAGG
RNAcentral lists this ribosomal RNA (253 nucleotides) under uncultured bacterium. RNAcentral describes it as "partial 16S ribosomal RNA". It matches the Rfam family "Bacterial small subunit ribosomal RNA", at positions 524 to 776 of the family's 1533-position model. The record is from RNAcentral.